AGUGAACGCUGGCGGCAGGCCUAAUACAUGCAAGUCGAACGGCAGCACAGCAGAGCUUGCUCUGUGGGUGGCGAGUGGCGGACGGGUGAGGAAUACAUGGGAAUCUGCCCAGUCGUGGGGGAUAACGUAGGGAAACUUACGCUAAUACCGCAUGCGCCCUUCGGGGGAAAGCCGGGGACCUUCGGGCCUGGCGCGAUUGGAUGAGCCCAUGUCGGAUUAGCUAGUUGGCGGGGUAAAGGCCCACCAAGGCGACGAUCCGUAGCUGGUCUGAGAGGAUGAUCAGCCACACUGGAACUGAGACACGGUCCAGACUCCUACGGGAGGCAGCAGUAGGGAAUAUUGGACAAUGGGCGCAAGCCUGAUCCAGCCAUGCCGCGUGAGUGAAGAAGGCCCUCGGGUUGUAAAGCUCUUUUGUCCGGAAAGAAAAGCGCCGGGUUAAUACCCUGGUGUCCUGACGGUACCGGAAGAAUAAGCACCGGCUAACUUCGUGCCAGCAGCCGAC
Molecule: ribosomal RNA, 502 nt
Filed under: uncultured bacterium
Lineage: Bacteria
Description: bacterial SSU rRNA
Rfam family: Bacterial small subunit ribosomal RNA
Source: RNAcentral